Long non-coding RNA from Bolinopsis microptera, 328 nucleotides. RefSeq lists it as uncharacterized. NCBI's taxonomy places the organism in Eukaryota, Metazoa, Ctenophora, Tentaculata, Lobata, Bolinopsidae. The transcript is spliced from 2 exons. The record is from RefSeq and is a predicted model, not a curated record.
UCAUUAGCGUUAUACCUGAACAAAAUGGCUUGUAAAUGUGGAUGUGGAUGUGCUUGUAAGGGCUGCGCUGGAACGGCUGCCUGCUGUGGAAAGAAAUGCUGUGAUAAGUGCAAAUGUUAGAAGACGAUUAUUAUAUUGAUGGAGAGUCAUACUGCUACUGAAUGAAAGUGGCCUCCAUGGAAUUUUAAGAAUGCAGUUCAAUUAGAUAAUUCUGACAAACUGAAACUUAUGAUUUUAUUAUCUGAUGUAGCCGAUUUAUUUUCUGAAAAUAUUACUAUUAUGUUAUAAAAAUAUAACUGUUAUUAUGUUGACAAUUUAAAAUGUUAAA